RNAcentral lists this ribosomal RNA (200 nucleotides) under uncultured bacterium. RNAcentral's name for it is "partial 16S ribosomal RNA". It matches the Rfam family "Bacterial small subunit ribosomal RNA", at positions 8 to 206 of the family's 1533-position model. The record is from RNAcentral.
AGAGUUUGAUCCUGGCUCAGAAUCAACGCUGGCGGCGUGCCUAAUACAUGCAAGUCGAACGCGAAAGUCCCGCAAGGGAUGAGUAGAGUGGCGAACGGGUGAGUAACGCGUGGGUGACCUGCCUUCGAGUGGGGGAUAACGUCCCGAAAGGGACGCUAAUACCGCAUGACAUCCUGCCGUUGAAUCGGUGGUGAUCAAAG